RNAcentral lists this ribosomal RNA (645 nucleotides) under uncultured Actinomycetes bacterium. RNAcentral describes it as "bacterial SSU rRNA". It matches the Rfam family "Bacterial small subunit ribosomal RNA", at positions 232 to 885 of the family's 1533-position model. The record is from RNAcentral. Lineage: Bacteria; Bacillati; Actinomycetota; Actinomycetes.
CGCGGCCUAUCAGCUUGUUGGUGGGGUGAUGGCCUACCAAGGCGACGACGGGUAGCCGGCCUGAGAGGGCGACCGGCCACACUGGGACUGAGACACGGCCAGACUCCUACGGGAGGCAGCAGUGGGGAAUAUUGCGCAAUGGGCGAAAGCCUGACGCAGCGACGCCGCGUGGGGGAUGACGGCCCUCGGGUUGUAAACCUCUUUCGCCAUCGACGAAGCCUUUGGGUGACGGUAGGUGGAGAAGAAGCACCGGCCAACUACGUGCCAGCAGCCGCGGUAAUACGUAGGGUGCGAGCGUUGUCCGGAAUUAUUGGGCGUAAAGAGCUCGUAGGCGGUGUGUCGCGUCGGUCGUGAAAACUUGGGGCUUAACUCUGAGCUUGCGGUCGAUACGGGCAUCACUUGAGUUCGGCAGGGGAGACUGGAAUUCCUGGUGUAGCGGUGAAAUGCGCAGAUAUCAGGAGGAACACCGGUGGCGAAGGCGGGUCUCUGGGCCGAUACUGACGCUGAGGAGCGAAAGCGUGGGGAGCGGACAGGAUUAGAUACCCUGGUAGUCCACGCCGUACACGGUGGGCGCUAGGUGUGGGGGCCAUUCCACGGUCUCUGUGCCGCGGCUAACGCAUUAAGCUCCCCGCCUGCGGAGUACGG